Molecule: long non-coding RNA, 613 nt
Organism: Phragmites australis (common reed)
Lineage: Eukaryota; Viridiplantae; Streptophyta; Magnoliopsida; Poales; Poaceae
Exons: 2
Source: RefSeq, a predicted model, not a curated record
UCGGUCCUCACGUCUACACAAGACACAACCUUAUCUCUUCCCGAGCGCCGGUGCUAUUCUUAUCCUUUCCCCACCAGUGUGCUCUCUCUCUCCCAACCUUUCUCUCCCGUUCACACCACACAAGGCACAACCUUAUCUCUUCCUCACCUGUGCUCUCUCUGAAUCUCGUGAUGGAGAGCAAUGUGUAGCUAAUCACAAGUGUUUGCUCUUGAUUCUGAGAGAAUGGCGCCGCCGAGGAUGAUGGCAACAGCGUGCCUGUGUUCGUCGAGUACAACCUCGACGAGCUCAGGGCAGCCACCGACGGCUUCUCCCCCGACCGCAUCGUGUAGGAGCAUGGCGAGAAUGCGGAGCAUGGCGAGAAUGCGCCCAAUGUGGUCUACCUCAGCACGCUCUUCAGCUCCAGCCGCACCGUCGCCAUCAAGCGCUUUGGCCGUUCCGGCUGGCCCGACUCCUGCCAGUUCUUCGUCCGUGUAGCUUGCUUCGUGUCAUGGAUCAUUUCUUGUUUGUCUCUAGCCUUUGUGGCGUCUGAUUGAAUUGUUGUAUGUCUGUGGAUUUGUUUGAUGAGAUCUGCUUGUGUUCUUGUGAUGAGAUAAGAUGAGUGUCUUUAGUCUGU